Molecule: small RNA, 564 nt
Filed under: Pan troglodytes (chimpanzee)
Lineage: Eukaryota; Metazoa; Chordata; Mammalia; Primates; Hominidae
Description: retained intron
Source: RNAcentral
CUAAGUAAACCAGAGCCCGGUGGGCUGGAACGCGCCGGAAUCUGAGGUGACUGAGAGUUUUCAUCCUCUUGAAUAAGAACUCGACAACAGAGUGGGAACUUUCUGUCUUGUGAUCGAUUGCCUGGUGAGUCACAGCUCACACCAUGGAUUUAACCUGAGAGCUUCAACUUCUGCUUUGGCCCUGGAGUUCCCAUGCCCUGGUGUCUUCUACCAGUUCUUAGGUAGGGUUUUGUAUCCAGAGAGGGUUCAGCUUUCUCCCGUGGGCUGGGGGAAGAGGUCAAAGUCGAACUCAGGUACCAAAUUUGAAAGGAAACACUCAGAAAAAACUUCUGAGCGCAGAGCGGAAAACACCCUCUCAGUCCCCACCAAAGAGAAAAGCUUUGGGUUCUAAAUUUCCAGUUUCCAUUAAGGGACUCUGGGACUGGACAUUUCUGAAAAUUAAUGACCUGUACUGAGUAAUCCUCCCAACACACUGAUCAUCAAAAAAUAACCUGUAAUGAGUUUAGGCUUUCUGUAUUUGUCUGAAUGCUUUCACGGGAGUGUGUCACAGGAAGGCGGCACUGG